CAGUCGUACCGGCGGAAAAUCAGCUCUUCGAGUGCGAACUUGUGGGCGUACGUGAGCUUUAACCAGCCUCGUUGUUUGCGAUGUUUGUGCUUUUUUGGGUGUUACUUUUUUCGUAUGGUAGGCCAACGUCAGUCUCGGUCACCAUAAAAUGAUUGGAGGAAUGUAGCUUUGAUCUCGUAUCGAAGUGUUAUAGACUUC
Molecule: ribosomal RNA, 198 nt
Filed under: Glomus sp. (unid)
Lineage: Eukaryota; Fungi; Glomeromycota; Glomeromycetes; Glomerales; Glomeraceae
Source: RNAcentral